GAUGAACGCUGGCGGCGUGCCUAAUACAUGCAAGUCGAGCGAACGGACGAGAAGCUUGCUUCUCUGAUGUUAGCGGCGGACGGGUGAGUAACACGUGGAUAACCUACCUAUAAGACUGGUAUAACUUCGGGAAACCGGAGCUAAUACCGGAUAAUAUUUUGAACCGCAUGGUUCAAAAGUGACAGACGGUCUUGCUGUCACUUAUAGAUGGAUCCGCGCUGCAUUAGCUAGUUGGUAAGGUAACGGCUUACCAAGGCAACGAUGCAUAGCCGACCUGAGAGGCUGAUCCGAUACACUGGAACAGAGAGACGGACCAGACUCCUAAGGGAGGCAGCAGUAGGGACUCAGCAGCCAUGGGAGAAAGCCUGAGGGAGCAACGCCGCGUGAGUGAUGAAGGUCUUCCGAUCGUAAAACUCUGUUAUUAGGGAAGAACAGAUGUGUCAGUAACCGUGCCCAACUUGACGGCCCCUAAUCAGAAAGCAACGGCUAAGUACGCG
RNAcentral lists this ribosomal RNA (497 nucleotides) under uncultured bacterium. RNAcentral describes it as "partial 16S ribosomal RNA". It matches the Rfam family "Bacterial small subunit ribosomal RNA", at positions 28 to 507 of the family's 1533-position model. The record is from RNAcentral.